Molecule: ribosomal RNA, 898 nt
Filed under: uncultured bacterium
Lineage: Bacteria
Description: bacterial SSU rRNA
Rfam family: Bacterial small subunit ribosomal RNA
Source: RNAcentral
AGAGUUUGAUCCUGGCUCAGGAUGAACGCUGGCGGCGUGCUUAACACAUGCAAGUCGAACGGUGAAGCAGAGCUUGCUCUGUGGAUCAGUGGCGAACGGGUGAGUAACACGUGAGCAAUCUGCCCCUGACUCUGGGAUAAGCGCUGGAAACGGCGUCUAAUACCGGAUACGAGCUGCGACCGCAUGGUCAGUAGCUGGAAAGAAUUUCGGUCAGGGAUGAGCUCGCGGCCUAUCAGCUUGUUGGUGAGGUAAUGGCUCACCAAGGCGUCGACGGGUAGCCGGCCUGAGAGGGUGACCGGCCACACUGGGACUGAGACACGGCCCAGACUCCUACGGGAGGCAGCAGUGGGGAAUAUUGCACAAUGGGCGCAAGCCUGAUGCAGCAACGCCGCGUGAGGGAUGACGGCCUUCGGGUUGUAAACCUCUUUUAGCAGGGAAGAAGCGAAAGUGACGGUACCUGCAGAAAAAGCGCCGGCUAACUACGUGCCAGCAGCCGCGGUAAUACGUAGGGCGCAAGCGUUAUCCGGAAUUAUUGGGCGUAAAGCGCUCGUAGGCGGUCUGUCGCGUCUGCUGUGAAAACCCGAGGCUCAACCUCGGGCCUGCAGUGGGUACGGGCAGACUAGAGUGCGGUAGGGGAGAUUGGAAUUCCUGGUGUAGCGGUGGAAUGCGCAGAUAUCAGGAGGAACACCGAUGGCGAAGGCAGAUCUCUGGGCCGUAACUGACGCUGAGGAGCGAAAGGGUGGGGAGCAAACAGGCUUAGAUACCCUGGUAGUCCACCCCGUAAACGUUGGGAACUAGUUGUGGGGUCCAUUCCACGGAUUCCGUGACGCAGCUAACGCAUUAAGUUCCCCGCCUGGGGAGUACGGCCGCAAGGCUAAAACUCAAAGGAAUUGACGGG